RNAcentral lists this unclassified non-coding RNA (327 nucleotides) under uncultured fungus. RNAcentral's name for it is "partial contains 5.8S ribosomal RNA, internal transcribed spacer 2, and large subunit ribosomal RNA". Lineage: Eukaryota; Fungi. The record is from RNAcentral.
AACGCACCUUGCGCCGCUCGGUUUUCCGAGGGGCACGUCUGUUUGAGUGUCACGUUAAUCUCUCACUUGCCUUUGCGUAAAGUGGAUUUGGACUGUGCUGUUUUUAUAAUGGCUCGUCUCUAAAUGCAUUGCUGCCUGCAGAGUCUUGCACGGAGCAAGACCUAGCACAACGGUGUGAUAUUAAUUAUCUACGCUGGCGUUCUGGUCUUUUUGCACUGUUGCACAUGAUGUAGUACUCUGGGCUUACAAUAAAAAUGGAGAGAUUUUUUCUCGCCUUUAAUCUUUACGUUUGACCUCAAAUCAGAUGGGACUACCCGCUGAACUUAA